GACCUCGGAUCAGACAAGA
RNAcentral lists this ribosomal RNA (19 nucleotides) under Hydra vulgaris (swiftwater hydra). RNAcentral's name for it is "partial 28S ribosomal RNA". The record is from RNAcentral. Lineage: Eukaryota; Metazoa; Cnidaria; Hydrozoa; Anthoathecata; Hydridae.